Molecule: ribosomal RNA, 270 nt
Filed under: uncultured bacterium
Lineage: Bacteria
Description: partial 16S ribosomal RNA
Rfam family: Bacterial small subunit ribosomal RNA
Source: RNAcentral
AACGAACGCUGGCGGCGUGCCUAACACAUGCAAGUCGAGGGAGAAAGUCCGCAAGGAUGAGUAAACCGGCGAACGGGUGCGUAACACGUGGAUAAUCUACCUUCCUGACUGGGAUAACUGGCCGAAAGGCUUGCUAAUACCAGAUAAGCCCACGGGCGCUUCGGCGCUUGAGGGAAAAGGUGGCCUCUGCAAGCAAGCUAUCGCAGGGAGAUGAGUCCGCGGCCCAUCAGCUCGUUGGCGGGGUAAAAGCCCACCAAGGCUACGACGGGU